This 409-nucleotide ribosomal RNA is filed under the name Mandarina aureola. RNAcentral's name for it is "partial 16S ribosomal RNA". The record is from RNAcentral. Lineage: Eukaryota; Metazoa; Mollusca; Gastropoda; Stylommatophora; Camaenidae.
AGUUUUGAGCUAAAUAUAUUUAUAAUAUUAGUUAUUUAUGAAGGUGUUGUAAAAUCUUUAUUUAAAAUUAUAUUUAGGGGUGACAGGCCUUUCAAAAACUAAGAUAUCUUGAAUCUAAUUAAAAGUAUGUAGUACAAUUAACACAACUAUUAAGUGAUUAGGCUUUAUAGAAUUAUUAACUUAUAAGAUUUUAUUUACUAUAAUUUAAUAAUUAAGUAUAUAAAUAUAUUAAUAUUCAUAUAUUAUAGUUUAUAAAAGAGUAAUUAGAUAGAUUUAAGUUCAUAUUUCUUAUAAUAAUGUUAAUAUUAGUAUUAAGUUUAUAUUUAUAUGAUGAACUCGGCAAAAAUACUUCUCAACUGUUUAUCAAAAACAUAACUAUGUGAAUGAAUACAUAGCGGUUUCUGCUCAA